RNAcentral lists this ribosomal RNA (254 nucleotides) under uncultured Pseudomonas sp. RNAcentral describes it as "partial 16S ribosomal RNA". It matches the Rfam family "Bacterial small subunit ribosomal RNA", at positions 99 to 355 of the family's 1533-position model. Lineage: Bacteria; Pseudomonadati; Pseudomonadota; Gammaproteobacteria; Pseudomonadales; Pseudomonadaceae. The record is from RNAcentral.
CGGACGGGUGAGUAAUGCCUAGGAAUCUGCCUGGUAGUGGGGGACAACGUUUCGAAAGGAACGCUAAUACCGCAUACGUCCUACGGGAGAAAGCAGGGGACCUUCGGGCCUUGCGCUAUCAGAUGAGCCUAGGUCGGAUUAGCUAGUUGUUGAGGUAAUGGCUCACCAAGGCGACGAUCCGUAACUGGUCUGAGAGGAUGAUCAGUCACACUGGAACUGAGACACGGUCCAGACUCCUACGGGAGGCAGCAGCC